GAUGAACGCUGGCGGCGUGCCUAAUACAUGCAAGUCGAGCGAACAGAUGAGGAGCUUGCUCCUCUGACGAUAGCGGCGGACGGGUGAGUAACACGUGGAUAACCUACCUAUAAGACUGGGAUAACUUCGGGAAACCGGAGCUAAUACCGGAUAAUAUAUUGAACCGCAUGGUUCAAUAGUGAAAGACGGUUUUGCUGUCACUUAUAGAUGGAUCCGCGCCGCAUUAGCUAGUUGGUAAGGUAACGGCUUACCAAGGCAACGAUGCGUAGCCGACCUGAGAGGGGGACCGCCCACACUGGAACUGAGACACGGUCCAGACUCCUACGGGAGGCAGCAGUAGGGAAUCUUCCGCAAUGGGCGAAAGCCUGACGGAGCAACGCCGCGUGAGUGAUGAAGGUCUUCGGAUCGUAAAACUCUGUUAUUAGGGAAGAACAAAUGUGUAAGUAACUAUGCACGUCUUGACGGUACCUAAUCAGAAAGCCACGGCUAACUACGUG
RNAcentral lists this ribosomal RNA (497 nucleotides) under uncultured bacterium. RNAcentral describes it as "partial 16S ribosomal RNA". It matches the Rfam family "Bacterial small subunit ribosomal RNA", at positions 28 to 507 of the family's 1533-position model. The record is from RNAcentral.